This 524-nucleotide ribosomal RNA is filed under the name uncultured bacterium. Its description in RNAcentral is "bacterial SSU rRNA". It matches the Rfam family "Bacterial small subunit ribosomal RNA", at positions 8 to 518 of the family's 1533-position model. The record is from RNAcentral.
AGAGUUUGAUUAUGGCUCAGAACGAACGCUGGCGGCGCGUCUUAAGCAUGCAAGUCGAGCGGUAAGUUGUAGCUUGCUACAACCUAGAGCGGCGGACUGGUGAGUAACGCGUGGGUGACGUACCCUCUGGACGGGGAUAGCUCCUAGAAAUAGGAGGUAAUACCGGAUAAGGUCGUAUGUGUCAGAGGCAUACGAGGAAAGGUUCUUUUGAACCGCCGGAGGAGCGGCCCGCGUACUAUUAGCUAGUUGGUGAGGUAACGGCCCACCAAGGCGACGAUAGUUACCCGGCCUAAGAGGGUGAACGGGCACAUUGGGACUGAGAUACGGCCCAGACUCCUACGGGAGGCAGCAGCUAAGAAUAUUCCGCAAUGGACGAAAGUCUGACGGAGCGACGCCGCGUGGAUGAUGAAGGCCGGAAGGUUGUAAAAUCCUUUUAGGUGCGAGGAAUAAGUGAGGUGAGAGAAACGCCUCAUGGUGACGGUAGCACCUGAAUAAGCAACGGCUAAUUACGUGCCAGCAGCCGC